AAGGUCACAAUCAACAUUCAUUGCUGUCGGUGGGUUGAGUUAAGAACACAAGCUCGCUGAACGAUGAAUGCAACUGUGUCCCC
Molecule: microRNA precursor, 83 nt
Organism: Xenopus tropicalis (tropical clawed frog)
Lineage: Eukaryota; Metazoa; Chordata; Amphibia; Anura; Pipidae
Gene: xtr-mir-181b-1
Product: xtr-mir-181b-1
Source: Ensembl